UAGGGGGUUCGCAGACGAGUGGCGGACGGGUGAGUAAUGUCUGGGAAACUGCCUGAUGGAGGGGGAUAACUACUGGAAACGGUAGCUAAUACCGCAUAACGUCGCAAGACCAAAGAGGGGGACCUUCGGGCCUCUUGCCAUCGGAUGUGCCCAGAUGGGAUUAGCUAGUAGGUGGGGUAACGGCUCACCUAGGCGACGAUCCCUAGCUGGUCUGAGAGGAUGACCAGCCACACUGGAACUGAGACACGGUCCAGACUCCUACGGGAGGCAGCAGUGGGGAAUAUUGCACAAUGGGCGCAAGCCUGAUGCAGCCAUGCCGCGUGUAUGAAGAAGGCCUUCGGGUUGUAAAGUACUUUCAGCGGGGAGGAAGGCGAUAAGGUUAAUAACCUUGUCGAUUGACGUUACCCGCAGAAGAAGCACCGGCUAACUCCGUGCCAGCAGCCGCGGUAAUACGGAGGGUGCAAGCGUUAAUCGGAAUUACUGGGCGUAAAGCGCACGCAGGCGGUCUGUCAAGUCGGAUGUGAAAUCCCCGGGCUCAACCUGGGAACUGCAUUCGAAACUGGCAGGCUAGAGUCUUGUAGAGGGGGGUAGAAUUCCAGGUGUAGCGGUGAAAUGCGUAAAGAUCUGGAGGAAUACCGGUGGCGAAGGCGGCCCCCUGGACAAAGACUGACGCUCAGGUGC
Molecule: ribosomal RNA, 681 nt
Filed under: Enterobacter sp.
Lineage: Bacteria; Pseudomonadati; Pseudomonadota; Gammaproteobacteria; Enterobacterales; Enterobacteriaceae
Description: bacterial SSU rRNA
Rfam family: Bacterial small subunit ribosomal RNA
Source: RNAcentral